This 744-nucleotide ribosomal RNA is filed under the name Aliivibrio sp. R5-42. Its description in RNAcentral is "bacterial SSU rRNA". It matches the Rfam family "Bacterial small subunit ribosomal RNA", at positions 677 to 1419 of the family's 1533-position model. The record is from RNAcentral. Lineage: Bacteria; Pseudomonadati; Pseudomonadota; Gammaproteobacteria; Vibrionales; Vibrionaceae.
AGCGGUGAAAUGCGUAGAGAUCUGAAGGAAUACCAGUGGCGAAGGCGGCCCCNUGGACAGACACUGACACUCANAUGCGAAAGCGUGGGGAGCAAACAGGAUUAGAUACCCUGGUAGUCCACGCCGUAAACGAUGUCUACUUGGAGGUUGUGGCCUUGAGCCGUGGCUUUCGGAGCUAACGCGUUAAGUAGACCGCCUGGGGAGUACGGUCGCAAGAUUAAAACUCAAAUGAAUUGACGGGGGCCCGCACAAGCGGUGGAGCAUGUGGUUUAAUUCGAUGCAACGCGAAGAACCUUACCUACUCUUGACAUCUACAGAAUUCGCUAGAGAUAGCUUAGUGCCUUCGGGAACUGUAAGACAGGUGCUGCAUGGCUGUCGUCAGCUCGUGUUGUGAAAUGUUGGGUUAAGUCCCGCAACGAGCGCAACCCUUAUCCUUGUUUGCCAGCACGUAAUGGUGGGAACUCCAGGGAGACUGCCGGUGAUAAACCGGANGAAGGUGGGGGACGACGUCAAGUCAUCAUGGCCCUUACGAGUAGGGCUACACACGUGCUACAAUGGCGCAUACAGAGGGCUGCAAGCUAGCGAUAGUGAGCGAAUCCCAAAAAGUGCGUCGUAGUCCGGAUCGGAGUCUGCAACUCGACUCCGUGAAGUCGGAAUCGCUAGUAAUCGUGAAUCANAAUGUCACGGUGAAUACGUUCCCGGGCNNUGUACACACCGCCCGUCACACCNAUGGGGAGUGGGCUG